GCCACGAUGUCUAGGGGUUCUGAGAGGAAGGUCCCCCACACUGGUACUGAGACACGGACCAGACUCCUACGGGAGGCAGCAGUGAGGAAUAUUGGUCAAUGGACGCAAGUCUGAACCAGCCAUGUCGCGUGAAGGAAGACGGUUCUAUGGAUUGUAAACUUCUUUUAUACCGGAAUAAUGUGAGUCACGUGUGGCUUUUUGAAUGUACCGUAUGAAUAAGCACCGGCUAACUCCGUGCCAGCAGCCGCGGUAAUACGGAGGGUGCAAGCGUUAUCCGGAUUUAUUGGGUUUAAAGGGUGCGUAGGCGGACUAAUAAGUCAGUGGUGAAAUCCUGCAGCUUAACUGUAGAACUGCCAUUGAUACUGUUAGUCUUGAAUUUAGUUGAGGUAGGCGGAAUGUGUUGUGUAGCGGUGAAAUGCAUAGAUAUAACACAGAACACCGAUUGCGAAGGCAGCUUACUAAGCUAUAAUUGACGCUGAUGCACGAAAGCGUGGGUAGCGAACAGGAUUAGAUACCCUGGUAGUCCACGCCGUAAACGAUGAUUACUCGUUGUUGGCGAUACACAGUCAGCGACUGAGCGAAAGCAUUAAGUAAUCCACCUGGGGAGUACGUUGGCAACAAUGAAACUCAAAGGAAUUGACGGGGGCCCGCACAAGCGGAGGAACAUGUGGUUUAAUUCGAUGAUACGCGAGGAACCUUACCUGGACUUAAAUGUAGAUUGACAGACUUAGAGAUAGGUUUUUCUUCGGACAAUUUACAAGGUGCUGCAUGGUUGUCGUCAGCUCGUGCCGUGAGGUGUCGGGUUAAGUCCCAUAACGAGCGCAACCCCUAUUGUUAGUUACCAGCACGUGAAGGUGGGGACUCUAACAAGACUGCCGGUGUAAACCGUGAGGAAGGUGGGGAUGACGUCAAAUCAGCACGGCCCUUACGUCCAGGGCUACACACGUGUUACAAUGGUCGGUACAAAGGGCAGCUACCUGGCAACAGGAUGCUAAUCUCUAAAACCGGUCUCAGUUCGGAUCGGAGUCUGCAACUCGACUCCGUGAAGCUGGAUUCGCUAGUAAUCGCGCAUCAGCCAUGGCGCGGUGAAUACGUUCCCGGGCCUUGUACACACCGCCCGUCAAACCAUGGAAGCCGGGGGUACCUGAAGUCUGUUACCGCGAGGAGCGGC
This 1171-nucleotide ribosomal RNA is filed under the name Cytophagaceae bacterium GUDS1294. Its description in RNAcentral is "bacterial SSU rRNA". It matches the Rfam family "Bacterial small subunit ribosomal RNA", at positions 273 to 1456 of the family's 1533-position model. Lineage: Bacteria; Pseudomonadati; Bacteroidota; Cytophagia; Cytophagales; Cytophagaceae. The record is from RNAcentral.